This 253-nucleotide ribosomal RNA is filed under the name uncultured bacterium. RNAcentral describes it as "partial 16S ribosomal RNA". It matches the Rfam family "Bacterial small subunit ribosomal RNA", at positions 524 to 776 of the family's 1533-position model. The record is from RNAcentral.
UACGUAGGGGGCAAGCGUUAUCCGGAUUUACUGGGUGUAAAGGGGGCGCAGACGGCGAUGCAAGCCAGGAGUGAAAGCCCGGGGCCCAACCCCGGGACUGCCCUUGGAACUGCGUGGCUGGAGUGCAGGAGGGGCAGGCGGAAUUCCUGGUGUAGCGGUGAAAUGCGUAGAUAUCAGGAGGAACACCGGUGGCGAAGGCGGCCUGCUGGACUGCAACUGACGUUGAGGCCCGAAAGCGUGGGGAGCAAACAGG